CAAAGAGUAGUUUAUAAAAAUAUUAGUUUUGGGGACUAAAGUUGAAGAAAUUUCUUUCUCUUUGA
This 65-nucleotide transfer RNA is filed under the name Paraleptophlebia submarginata. RNAcentral describes it as "tRNA-Pro". Lineage: Eukaryota; Metazoa; Arthropoda; Insecta; Ephemeroptera; Leptophlebiidae. The record is from RNAcentral.